Long non-coding RNA from Clupea harengus (Atlantic herring), 259 nucleotides. RefSeq lists it as uncharacterized. The record is from RefSeq and is a predicted model, not a curated record. NCBI's taxonomy places the organism in Eukaryota, Metazoa, Chordata, Actinopteri, Clupeiformes, Clupeidae.
AGGAGACUAUGCUGUGUAAAGACAUUAGGCCUACAAGAAGGAUAUUGAGAGCAUGUUCGGAAAUAUUAAGUUUAUGAGACAUCUUCGGUAUCACAAAUAAUUAAGUGGACGGUGAAAGGUCAACAUUGAAGGGUUAAAGAAAGCCGAGGUCGACGGUACAAGGCAGACACGACGCGAACAAACACAAGAUGGAAUGCAGUGAACAAGCUAAGCAUAGCCUUAAUGCUGCUUAUUUAAUAAAAAUACAACAUUAUUAUAA